Molecule: long non-coding RNA, 684 nt
Organism: Podarcis raffonei (Aeolian wall lizard)
Lineage: Eukaryota; Metazoa; Chordata; Lepidosauria; Squamata; Lacertidae
Exons: 3
Source: RefSeq, a predicted model, not a curated record
CUGUUUUUUGGACUACAACUAGCAAGACCAGCGGUCAGGGAUGAUGGUAAUUGUAGUCUGAAAACAGCUGGAGACCCAAAUUUGGGAAACACUGAUCUAGAGGUCCCCCGCUACACAAAAAGCGCCCAAAAUAUUCCCUAAAUGUCCAACAGACUCUCUAUAUAUGGGGCAUUUUUCACCCUAGCCAAUGCAACAUGCUGAGGUAAAAAAGUUUCCAGCUAAACUGAUUGAGAAGAGCAGAUUUAAAAGCCUGGGAUAAAAAAAAAGUCCCAAGGAAUAUGAAGUGUUGUUAGUUUGCCUGCUGCCUUACUGCUUGUUCUGAGGUGAGAUUUGAAGGAAGGCAGAGCAGUAUCACCCAAUAGGGAAUCCAAGCAUAAAGGGCUGCCAAGGAGAAUAGGUGGAGUCAUGAAAAUGGACAAGAAAUUUUGGGAGGAUGAAGGCAGGGACUGACACAACCAGAGCCGGUACUGUUGUGCUGAAAUCUUUUGAAAGGCUUUUGUCCUACUGCAUGAGAACGGAUGACCUGCAAAUAAAACUAUGGGAUGAAAAUGGCUUCUUACAAAAAGACACACUUUUAGAAGAUUAUGGAAGAAUAUGAUACACAUAAAAAGAAAGAACCAGAACAGCUUACUUGAGUCUUCCGUCGAAAUACGCUGGUGUUCCCAGGACAAUUGUUUUUAUGAA